UGUGUAGCUGUUUGAGGACUACA
This 23-nucleotide non-coding RNA is filed under the name Cricetulus griseus (Chinese hamster). The record is from RNAcentral. Lineage: Eukaryota; Metazoa; Chordata; Mammalia; Rodentia; Cricetidae.